This is a long non-coding RNA of Parus major (Great Tit), 11000 nucleotides long. RefSeq lists it as uncharacterized. The record is from RefSeq and is a predicted model, not a curated record. The transcript is spliced from 3 exons. Lineage: Eukaryota; Metazoa; Chordata; Aves; Passeriformes; Paridae.
AAGCGCUGCUUCAGCUUGCCCAGCUCCUGGCGCAGCAGGUCUUCGUAGGGCAGCUCCACCGAGGAGAAGACCACGGCGCCGAACACCAGAAUAAGGUGACGCAGUGUGAAGCAGGAGAAUGAAUUUCAUUCAGUGCAGGAUGUGAUGAGUUCAAGGAGAAGCCCAGAUGUCGGGUGUUGAAGCUCUCCCUCAGGGCUCCUGGAGACACUUUUUGAUGUGGAGUGCCUGGCUAGAGCUCAGAGCAACAUCCAAGGUGAAUACAAAUGCGCUGUGCAGCCAGCCCUCUGUGUAGCCCCGGCCAGCGAUCUUCACAAGUUUCACUCUGAAUGCUUCUUUCUUCAUCCAUCUCGAACUCCAACCAGCAACCACACAGUAAACUCGCUAGAUGAGGUUCCCCACCAGAUGAAAAGGAGCAGUAAAAAUUACAGCUUCCCAAAACAUCCCUUAGGGUGAAUAAAGACAGCUUCUAGUAAAGGAGAGAAAGUUCCUUGGUCACAAAGUUCUGUCACGGCCCUUUCCCUCAGCUGAUGGCAAUUUAUACAGACAUAAAGGAGUAACUUGCUAAUUAGAAAUUUACUAGGCCUGAGCCAGGGAGUUUGGACAGAGUAAGUAAAAUCCAGCAACCUGUCUUAAGCUGUGAGGUACCCCUCUAAGCUUUAAGGACAACUGUGGGAAAAGAAUAGGGAAAUGAAAAGCAAAAAACAAUUCUUCAGGCUAAAAACUUAAAACUGUAUGUCAACAUUCCCUUUUAUACAACAGCUACAUGAAGCAAUGGGAUAAAACUGGCCUGACAGAACAGCUGUCAGGUUCCUGGUCUAUUCCCCACUGCCAGCUCGGCUGGGUCAUUCCAGGGCCUUCAACACAUCCCCCACCCCUAUGUUUCAUUAAAAUGUAAAUGUGCUCUUACAUGCAAGCUGCUUGAAUAACCAUUCAGCAGAGCACUUGGGGGAUGUGGGAGGUGCACAGGGGAAGGGCUGAGCGGGCAGACUCCCCAUGACGUGCUGGGAGAGCACGUGUGGUAUUCGUGAUAGGCAGUGGUCAUGUCUUUGCUAUAAAACAGUAUUUUCCCAACCUUCAAGCCAAAUAUUUGUUUAAAGGUUAGAAAAUAUUUGCCUAAGAACACUCCUCUUUUCAGUUAUAGGAAACUGUGGCUGGGUAAGCUGAACAGUUUUAUUUACCAGCCUCCUUCAGUUUUCCAUUUUUAUGAAUCAGUCAUUCUCCAUUUUUAGAAGCCUUUCACACUUGGAGGCUUGCUGGGCUGAAGAGAAAAGGAGGACUCUGCUGAACAGAGCCUGCAAUACUCUCUUCUCAAUUUUUAUCCCCAAAGCAUUUUAGAGGGAUGGGCUGAGGGGAAUAAUGGCAGAGCAUCGCAGCUGUGUCACCAAAACAUUCAGUUCUUGCUUCCAAAGCAAACAUCUGGACAGUCUGAGUUUCAGCCACCGUUAUUGAUAUUCAUAUUUUAACUCAAAAUACUUAAUAUAACUGAUAACUUAAUUAUAGAUUUCUUUGGGAUAGAAAGAUGUCUUCAUAUUCAGUUUUCUGAUUUUCAGUGAUUGUAUUUUCCAUGAUAAUAUCACAUGUGAAUGUGGUUAUGGCAUUCCAGCUUCAUUCCACAGCAUGCUAUAUCCAUUUUCAUGUUUUCCUAGUCAAAGAUUAGGCUAGUCAAGGAUUCAGUGUACUGAAUUCUGUGUUAAGUGCCAUAUAACAGGACAUCACAACAUGCUUCGUCAGGGAGUGACUGAAACUGGAGAGCAGGCUGUUACAGAACAGCCUUUCCCCAGCACAAAUUUCACUCUCUGGUGAUCAUCCCUCUUAAUAAAACAUGAAUCCAGUUAAUAAAGUGUGCCACGUCAUCACAUUGCUUGUCCACCAGCAGUGCUCUGUGGUGACUGGGCUCCUUACUGUUGAAGACCAGCUGCAAGCAGAGUGAAGAAACCCACUGUUGGUAGAUUCUGGUGUUCUCCAUUGCACAAACCUCCCUCUGAGCUACAGAAAAUGCAAACACAGGCUGCCAGUCUACAUGGGCAGAAAAGAAGGCAGACAUUCUAAUCCAUCAUAGAACUGAAACAGAAACCACAGUUGUGUCCUGGGGUGCUAGAAAACCACAGAGAAAGUUAGUAGUCUCCAAGCCUGCUGCCAAGGGAGGUAGGGCAACUCCCCUAUCACAUCACUGGGCUGGCAGCUUCUAUAGCAUAGUCCAGAGGCUGAGAAAAUCCUCUCUUGUACGUAAGAAGGGUAAGACCCUUUCAGAACUGUAUGAAUCACCAACAUUUUCAGUUGGGAGAAGUGAAAUUGAAGUAAAGAGGCUUUGUGUUAAUGGCAGUCUGCUCUUCUCUGAGAUUUUUGGUCAACUAGAAUAAUCUUUAAUUACUGAAACAUUUCCAAUGAAAUGUGAAGUGGUUGAAGAGGGAUCACUGGACUCUAGUCUUUUAUCCAUUGACUGAAAAUGACAACUGAUAAAAAUAGUUGCUUCAGUGAAAAGCAAGAAUAGCUUACAGCAGUGCUCCAGUGCCCAGAGCCUGAGCCAGAAAACAGGUCUGUGCUGGGUGCCAUAGGCCAAAGAGGAGAUUUGACAUGGGGGGUUCUGCUGCUGUUAUCGCUGAGUACUAGUCUGUGAGCAGGAAUAAGUCUGAGGAAAGGGAAACACCCAUGUUUGGCAUGUUACUUAUAUCAAGAUUAUAAAAUAUUUUCAGCACCAGAAAGAAAACUGAAAAUGACUCAUAUGCACCGAAACUUCAAGCUGACUGAAAGGAUUAUUUCUUUUCCUUUUUAUUUUUUUCCCCCAAAAGAGUAGUCUUGUAGCCAGAUCGCUACAGUCUUGGAAGAGUAAGCCCUUCUCAUUAUGUUGGAGAACCUUAAAUGCUAGAAACUGGGUAAAUAAAAUUAGUUACCAGGCAAUACUUAUCCUGCCAAACCUGUUCUGCUCUGGCAUACCUACAGCAUGACCUCACAGUACAAGGAACAGAGGAGGUGGUGGUGAGGAACGGUGGGAUGAACCAGGACAGUGUGGGAGGCAAUAAAAACUUAAGUGGGAAGAACAUGAGGCAGUAUCAAAGCUGUGUCACCCUGACAGCUGAAUAUUGAAUAGCAGCAGGGAACUGAUUUGUCCUUCAUUACCUUUCUUCAGAUUAGCUUGGAUAUAAAUUCAGGGGUUAUGGCAAGUUUGAAGUCUGACUGAUCAGUCCUAAAUUAUGUAUACAUGAAGAAAGAUUGCCAUAAAUGUGAGGUUCUCUGAAUUCACUUCUAUUAGUGAUUCUGCCCCUAGAAAAUAUUUUUAAUGAAACUGGUAAGAAGUAGAAUCCUUUAUGAUUUGCUCUAUCUGUUAAGUGAAGGCUGUAACAUAAUACAUUUCCUUUUAUAGAAGAAAAUUUUUCUGAUCAAUUGUUUCUAAAUACUCAAUUUGUGAGCUUUUGCAGAAAUUAGUACAAGCUUGGCUAGUGGCUCUGAUUAAAUGUCAUGGCCCUGUGGGCAGGCAGGAUAUGAAUUAAAAGAAUCACAUCCUCACAGGCACUGACACAAAUGUAGUUAAGUUGAGAAGCAGUCAGAUGGGUUGCCAUGUGUUCCCUUUCCAAUAGGUAAGGUGUUCUAUUUUGGCUAAAUGGAAUCAUCUAGAUUUGGGUCAAAUAAAGUAAAACUUAUAAAAGUUGAAACAACAGAGCCUGACUUUUCAGGGAAAAAAGUAAUCUGUGAAUAGGGGAUGCAUUCCCCUCUUAAUUUGGCAGGAGGAUGGAGAUGGAAUAAGAGAGUACAGAUGUAUUUAGGUCUUUAAAGUUCAUCAGCAGCCAUACUGGUGACAGUAGAUACAUUGCUAUGGAAGAAAAAGAGUCAGCAAAAUCUGUCUCCACACUCAUGCCAUUUCCAACAAAACCUGCCUGGCUAAAUUCUAUUUGAGAGGGAAGGGAGAAGGAUUGAUAUUUAGUGGUUUCCUCAAAAAAAUACAUUUUAUGCUGUUUACUUAAUGGUGCAAUACUGUCCAAAAAUGUUAAGACCACUGAUGUGUGAUAACAAAGGAAUGAAUCUGCCCAGUUUGGAACUGUAUUUAGAGGAAGGUUUGCAUCAUGAAGUAGUAGUGUUUAGAAUCAAGGAAGUUUAUAUGCAUGGUCAGGCACCGUUUCUUUCAUGAGUGAGUCAUCCUUGCUCAGCGUAAAUAUGAUUUUCCUUAGAGCUGCAAUAAGUAUUCAUAUUUAACCAAUGAUCUUGAUGUCCAGGUAGGAUAACUGAUAGAUAAGUCUUUUAUUAAGAAAAGCAUUUUAUGUUAUGGGAAAAGCAAUGUCAUGUAUAUUUGCCAUCAGGUUUAUCAGUGACAUUUUCCAGAAAGCAGCUGGGUUUCUCUAAGAGAUAUAGGUCCAGUGAGGAUGAGGGCUGCAUAUAUGUGCAUAAAUGCACACACCCAUGUAUAUACAUAUAUGGUCUUAUAUAAUAAUAUAUAUAGCCUGCUUCUUCAAACUCCUCACUAUUAUAUUCCAAGUUGUGCCAUAUCUUUGUAGAAAGGUGAUUACCUGUUAUUUGUAGGAUUGUGUUAACACUAAAGAAAUGGACUAGUUCAGAGAAUUCAGGAUGUCAACCUGAAUGACCUUUUUAGACAAUUACAUUAAAUAAAAUUCAAUGUUUUCAAUAAAGUGAUCUUGCCCUCCUAAGUCUGCUGGGCAACAGUCACCCAGCAGAACUGGUUUUUUUAAUCUCUUGUUCAAGAUGUUGAAAAGACAAAUGGUUGAUAUCCUUAAUACUUUGUACUGAAAAAUAGGAAAUCAAAUUACAAAAUACUUUAUAUCUCUUCCAUAUACUCUGUAGAAUUUUUGGCCUUCUUCCCCCAGCUUUGCAGUCUGAUCUUAAAGGUGGUUAUGGUGGGAACUAAAAGAAUGCAAUAGCUGAAGUGGGCUCACAACUGGGUGUCCAAGCCUCCAGCCUGAUCUUACCAGUUCUGGCACCAGUUUUGGUUUUGUCUUGAAGAUGUUGUGCCAGUUCUUGGGCACCCAGGAAAUGAUGGUGACAGAAAAGCCUGCCAGUUUUCUCUGAGCCGGUUUCAAAACAUACAGACCUAGAAUGGAUUACACUGUCUGUAAUUACUUUUUACAGUAGCUGAGCUGUAUUUUCAUGGUUUCUGAUUUUGGCUAACUGGGGCCCAGUCCCAGUCUUAGUUUAGUGGUGCUGUUGGGCAAUAGUGGUACAUCCUUUUGCCUCUUCUAAUUCGGUUUGCAUCACUGUACUUGUUGUAAAAUCAAUUUUAUUCAACAGGCUGAGUUGAACUUGUAUUACAGUGGCAGACAAAAGCUUGGACCCAGCAGUGGUGAGGUUCUUUCUGACAGCUCACGCACCCGCUUACCCAUUCACGGAAAGGUCACAUUAACUUGUCAAAACAGCUCUCAGCUUCAGCUCCAUUUGACUCUGUGUUCCUGGCCCCCAGGACGUGUACACAGCACAGCACUGGCCUCCUUGCCCUGGGCUGUGAGUUUGGAUGGAACAAUAUGUGCACGCUUGGACAGGAUGUACUGGGGCCAGGUCUGGACACUGACUGCUCUCUGACUCUGCCUUAGGCAGCUGGGCUCCAGCGACUGGAGAUGUGUCUGAGGCUGUUAUCCUUUGUAGCAGUGAAUGUCUUCAUGCCUGCAAUGCAUUGCUUCCAGCCCAUAGGAGACCUAGUGGAUACUGCACAUCACCUCCAGGCCAAGAUACUUCGCUAAAGUAGGGAAGUCUGGUGCUGGAUGUGGCUGCCUGCAUGUGGAUCAUACAGGGCAGGUUCUUAGGAUGGGUUUCAGAUGCUGCCCAGAUGCUGCCCAAGAAGUAAUCAGCUGUGGAAGGAGUAGGGUUAAAGAUCCUGGGAAGGAUCUCUCCUGCUGCAUCCAUAGCUGAUAGCUAGGAUGUACUGCAGCUUGGCUUUUUAGGGCUCUAGGCUCCUAGAGAGCAAUCCUAAUGAGAGGCACAUCUUUGCAGUCUCUAAUACAUAAAAUAUGUUCUUACCCAGAUACUCAGGCAUGAAAACACCACUUGUGUCUGACCUGGUGUAUUUCCUGUGCUGUUUGAAUCCUACAUUUUAAAGGAGCUUAAUGUUUAACUGUAGGCUGGCAUAAGUUCCAAUGCUUCCCUGAAAAUGUCCCAGCAGGAUGGAGAAACCCAGGCAACCUCUUUCCUAGGCACAGGUGUUACAGCCAGCAGCACGUGGUUGGGGGGGGAGCACUGAAACAGGCACCCUUCUCUCAUCAUUCCUGCAGGGCAAAUCCACGUGUUUCUGUGGUUGGUCCUGAUAGCUAAUAGUUCUUCUCUGGGAGUGCAGCACAAACCAACACACUGUAGCAGAUACCCUCAGCUGUGGCAUUUAUUCCUUGUAGCUGAAGGCCUGCAUUAGCACAAUGAGGUUAGUAGGAGUUACUGCCUGCCAAUGAGAAGUAAAACCAGGCAAAACCGUCUAAUUUGUGAUACUCCCACCUAGCCAUGCUAUUUGGACAGGUCUAUUUUCCAGGCAACAUUUCUGCCUCAGUAGUGUUAAAUUUUAGUAAGUGCUGUUCAUUGCCUCACUGAACCAGUGUCUGGAACAGCCCAUGGGUACUAUUGCCACAUGCACUGCUAUAAUGAACACCAAAGCCUAUUUCAGUGACCUGAAUCUUUUGAAAAUUUAGUCCUUUAUUUUUAUCCACAUAGAGGGAGCACAAGCUACAGUGUCCUACUUUAUCUCAACUGUGUCAUCUGACUCAUCAAUCAAAACUGAGACUGAAUCUUAUUAUCACCCACUGACUUUCAAUCAACCUCACAAACUGAUCAGGAGUACAAAAGAAAGGUUUUGUCACUCAGCUCUAUAUCUUUGCAAAUCUUGAGUCAUGUGACAUAUUAUAAAGUUUACAAAAUACAAUUUCAGCAAGGCCAAAUCCUGAACUCUUCCUUGGGAAGUUACACUUAGAAUGGACAUCACAGGACAGAGAAAAAAUUCCAUGAGGUAAGACAACUUUAAUAUGAGCUUUUAUACUAUUUGGUUGCUUAACUUUAAAUAUAAUACAAUAGUAAUAUUGUUUUAUCCACUUCCAUCAGGGUCCACUGUAUGUUCUUAUAACAUUUACCAGAUACAGAAAUAUAAAUGGUAUUUGGCCUACAAGCUGUCAAAGAAAUGGCUGAAGAUGUAGGCCUAUCUAGAAUAAUCUCCAUUAAAAACCUGACAGUUUUUCCCCCUGUAUUUUCAAAAAUACAUGAAGCAAUUUAAAAACAACAUCCCACCACCACCCUUACUACCAAAAUCUGGUUUUCUUGUUAUGGCAAAACAAGUGUCAGUGACCUGGUCCUAUUCUCACUCAUGAGACAUAUAUAGGAAACAAUUACAACACAUGCUAGAAGAUCAUUCCUUCCUUCCUCUUCCUUAGAAACUCUUUCCCAGAAUCCAGUCUGCUAUCCUUCAAAAAGUCUUCAGUCUGGCAAAGAAUAAAGAAUAAAAGACUGAAAUAUCCCAGUUUCCAGGGAAAACAGCCCACAUUUCUCACUGUGCCGUUUGUCUUCUGAUAUCUCACACCUGAUUUUAAGACAGAUCUACAAAAAAGUUGAAAAGAUGUUAGGUUGGGAUUUUCUUUUUCUGCUGCAUUGUGAUUGUCUCUACCUCCCCAACUUCUUUGUUUAAACUAGUCUUACCUGUGCCUCUUCUUGGUCCUAGUCCUCUUCUCCUACACAUGCCAUAAAGUGAAUUUAGGACUAUAUAUUCAUAAACAGAAAAAUGAAAUAAAAUUAACACUAUGUAUAUUUUUUAAGCUAUCCUUUUAUGAAUGAAGUCCUAAGCAUCACCUCAGUGCGAACAAUUAAUGAUCAAAUCUUAAACCAGGAUAUAGAAUUGACCAUUAGAAUAGGUUUUCCAGUGAAACUGAAUUGGUGUUAAAUUAAUUUUGGGACAGUCUAGUAUUAGGAAUGAUCUUGUUAACAGGUUUUAUGCUUUGGAUGAACCUGUUUCCAAGUCAACAUCAUACAUCCCAUGAACAUAAAACCAAUCAAAAUAUUAAUGUUUAUUGUAAAGUUAUAACUAAUAGUAAUCAGAUGUAUUGCCACAAUGACAAUUACAUUUAUUUUGUGCUCGUUAAGUAAAAGGAAAUGUUUUUCUAGGUAGUGCAGAGAAGGAAAGAUGAAAGAGAAACCCUAAUAUUAUUGUUUGUUGGAGUAAAUUUUAAUAUCAUUAGUUAAAUAUUCACAUUGUACUGAUGUCUUUUAUUUCACUACAGUUAAAUUUUUACCAUGUUGAGUUUGACUAUAAAAUACAAAGGCUUUCAUAUUCUGUGUGCCUGCCAUACUACAUUAAAUGUCCCUUUUUGAAAAAAGCAUUAUUAAUAGAGUGCAAUUUACCUGGAAGAAUACAAAACACUGUUGAUGAACAAAAAUAAAUCUGCUGAUGAAACUCAGUACAUCCAAAAUCUAUUACUGAAUUGAAAAGGACAUUAUUGUUUCCAGAUAAGUAACUUAGGGGCUGUAUACUCUUCUUUAGUUAAUCUGAGCUUUGAUUAACAUAAUGUAAUAUAAAACAUAGUACAUUCCAAGGAGUGAAACCAGAAGCAUCAGACUGGAAUAAAAUAAUGUUUCAGCAAGAUUUUUGUGACAAUAGUGCAUGGUGAUACGUAUUUAACAUUAAGCUUCACUGAUGCUAAUCAUUUAGGUUGGUGCUGAGUAGACCCCUCAGUCCUCAAAGGAUUCUCAGUCCUGUUUCACAAGGGAAACAAGCAUGAGAACUCAAGGAGAAUAUGCAGCAAGCAGCUAGAGGCUCAAUGAUCUCCUGUCAGAAUUUCAGUAGGGACAAAUCUCCCCUAGCUAAGACCAGUGAAAGGAUCUUGUGGAGUUGCCUCAAAGGUUUGAGGCAACUAGAAGAGAAAUACUAUUUGUCAGGUAAAAAUUGUUACGAGAAUCACACAAUGGGUGAAGUUGUAUGGGAUUAUUGAUGAAGAAAAUGAUGAUGGUUAUUCCUGCUAUCCAAAACCAUAGCUAUGUUGAAUAUUUAUAUCCUCAUGCUAUUAUCAAAUCUAUUCAGCCUUUAAAUUUAUCUAAUAUAUGAUAUUACUGCACCAUAAUUACUGAACAAUUUAAUAAUUUUUAGCACUGAAAAGAGAGAAAGUUUCAGUGCUUUAAAUCUCCUGACAGCUUGUGAGUGAGGAAAUCCUGGUUUUCUGAUUUUACAUCUAAAAAAUGGAGUCAUAGAAACAGAAGAUCACUUUCUGAAAGCUGGUCACCAUGAGAUGGGGAGAGGCAUUUAAUGACGUAGUCAGGAGUGCCAGCAAACCCCUACUGACACCGUUAGGAAUUGACAUGUACAGCUGAUAGCAGUACUUUUUGCAAUCUCAUGAAGGACUUGCCUGCCUCCCAAACCUCUAAUCCCCAGUGACUGAAGUCACUGCCUGGAGGAGAAAAUGAUGAUGGAAUCAGUUUCCUGCUGCCUGGAAAUAAAAUCUAUGUGCAAAGCACAGGGAAAGUGUAUUUUACUACAGCAUGGGAAAGCAUGUCUGAUUUCCAAGCUGGCCUCUGCCAGAAGGUUUUGUUCCCUGGCAGGAUCUUACCUUGCUCCUUCUCUGGGCGACACUCUUUACCUGUCAGUAAUUCCUGCAGGAUUUUCUGAAUGUUUGUUAGCAUGCAGGCAUGUCCAAAACUCAUCCCUGUCCCAGCUGCUCUGAUGCCAGUCACCACCAGCCUUUUCUACACGGCACCCUCCCCUGCUAAUGAUUCAGCAAAUGUUACCCCCCACUAAAGAACAACAUUUGUUUCCAGCUUAAAUGGGAAAGGAUGAAGAAUCCUAUCGGCGUGCAGUCCUCACCUUCCAGCACAGCACCUCAGGCAGAGCUGGCCUGAGUGACUUCCCGUGGUGUCUGGGCUGUGGUGGAAAUGCUGGACCUAUGCCAGGGACACUGCAGCUGCUGGCUUGCUGCCUUCUCCUCAUGUGGCAUCAUGUGGCUCAUGUAUGGUUUCCCACAGGCAAAGGGGACAACAGGCCUGAAGGACCAUUGCAUAAAAGAACCUGUAACAGCUCAGGAAAGCCAAGAGUCUUGCGGUUAAACACCAGUUCUGAAACUUAAAGAUAGAAACUCCAAAAUUUUUAGCCACAGGCUUCUUUCUGCUUAGACAUUCCCAUCUAUAUUCUGUGAUAGAUAGCCAUAAUUUUGGGAGAACAAAAUGGGCUGUUACUACAGGGUCAUAUAAAUCCUCCCUGUCUUCUGGGAAGUUGAGACUGAAAAAUAAUCUGGAUGUAACUAUCCUAAAACAUUAAACAUUUAUGAAAAAUAUAUAUCAUGGCAUUUUACAUACAAUUGUGCAAUAUACUUUUGUGACUUUCCUCCCAAGGCAUUUCUUUUAGAUAUUAAAUUGAUGAAAAAUGGUGAGAUGCUUCACAGCAAGAAGAGAUCUCUCCUCCAGCCCCCCAAAUGAACUCCCUAAGACAUAUUUCUUCUGCUUCAUGUUAAAGCAGAAAACUGCAUUUCCACCUCAUCAUUUUGUAUUGUAGUGGUUCUGGUUAUGAAAAUGGAAUAAUCGAGAAAGCUAUUUUAAAAAUAACUUCACUAAACUAUAGAAGAAAUUAUAUUGUCUGCUGAGUUAGAAAAUCUGUCUAUAAUUAGAUUUAAAUGUCACUCCUUUCAGUGCAUUUUAGCAUUUCUGCAGACUGUAAUCCUUAUGAAGUACAUAGUUCCAGAGUAUAGCCUUCCUCUUUUGAAAAUUAUGAUCCUAUGGCAAGCUUUCAGGAUAUUGUCUUUAUAUCAGCUGUAAAAGAUAAUCUAAUGGUUGAUGCAGUCUCAUUCCUGUGGCAUAAUUUGUUUUCAUUUGCUUUUCUCUAUGUAUUGUGUGUUGUAAGAUUGUAAUAUUGUGAGGAAAAUUAUUCAUCUGUAGCUAAGGAUAGUACAGAAUUUUACUAUAAAUGUCUCUAUUUUGUAUUUUACAAGUGAUGCUUGUGUAUAUGAAGUGCUAUUUAGUCUACAUAAAGAGCAGUGGAAUUUCAGCAACUGUAGUAUUUUUCUCAUUCUGCAAUCUUACUGUAUGAAUAAAGAAAAAAAAAAUAUUGGUAA